CCCUGGCUCAGGACGAACGCUGGCGGCAUGCUUAAUACAUGCAAGUCGAGCGGAGUUGUUUUGAAAGCUUGCUUUCAAAACAACUUAGCGGCGGACGGGUGAGUAACACGUAGGUAACCUGCCUGUAAGACUGGGAUAACUACCGGAAACGGUAGCUAAUACCGGAUAAUUUGUUUCUUCUCAUGAAGAGACACUGAAAGGCGGAGUAAUCUGCCACUUAUAGAUGGGCCUGCGGCGCAUUAGCUAGUUGGUGAGGUAACGGCUCACCAAGGCGACGAUGCGUAGCCGACCUGAGAGGGUGAACGGCCACACUGGGACUGAGACACGGCCCAGACUCCUACGGGAGGCAGCAGUAGGGAAUCUUCCGCAAUGGACGAAAGUCUGACGGAGCAAUGCCGCGUGAGUGAUGAAGGUUUUCGGAUCGUAAAGCUCUGUUGCCAGGGAAGAACGCUUGGGAGAGUAACUGCUCUCAAGGUGACGGUACCUGAGAAGAAAGCCCCGGCUAACU
Molecule: ribosomal RNA, 508 nt
Filed under: Paenibacillaceae bacterium CL3.45
Lineage: Bacteria; Bacillati; Bacillota; Bacilli; Caryophanales; Paenibacillaceae
Description: bacterial SSU rRNA
Rfam family: Bacterial small subunit ribosomal RNA
Source: RNAcentral